RNAcentral lists this long non-coding RNA (1076 nucleotides) under Equus caballus (horse). RNAcentral's name for it is "lncRNA (ENSECAG00000051204.1)". The record is from RNAcentral. Lineage: Eukaryota; Metazoa; Chordata; Mammalia; Perissodactyla; Equidae.
CCCAAAGGGAACUGAGGCAUUUAUCCACCAGCCCCCAUCAGCCAUUGGCUGAGGGCUGCUCCAGGGCUGGGACCAGGACUCCUUACAUCUUGUACACUGGACACCUUACUCGCCCCACCCUAGUCCCAGGCCCAGCUGCUCCUUGGUGCCACUGACUCCCUGACACUCUGGCCUGCUGUACCUAUGGACACAGAGGACCCUUUCAACCAAAACCUCCCGCCAAAAUUCAAGUCUCAGCCACAUGCCCAGCCCUACACCAAUCACUAAGCCAGGGGCUGUGAUGCUCUCAUUGGCCAGGCCCCAGUCACAUGCCCAGGCUAUGCCAAUCACUGGCCCUGGCAGCUGUGACGCACUCAUGGGCGGGCCCGCGUCGUGGCGGGGAGAGGAGUCUCCAGACGGAAGUGGGGUGCUGUUCUGAGAGAAAGAAGCAGCUUGGUGCUGGAUGAGAACCCGUGAACACCGAGGCUUCCCUCUGCCUCUCUGCUGACUGGUCCCUUAGCUCUGGGACGACUGAGAAGAGAACCCUGUUGACCAGGAAGGGCAGCCUUGGGAACCUAGCAAAAUGGGAAGGUCCGGGAAAUAUGGUAGACCAGGCAAGGAAAGACCGAGACUGGAAUGGAGCAGCUGGCGACGCAGCUGGGGGGAGAGGAGAGCACGUGCAACGUGAGUUCAUUCAGCAACCCCCUGGGGCUCCCACUGCAGGCCAAACACCACACUAAGUGCUUUGAGGGAGACCGAGAUAAGCGUGCCGCAGCCCCCCACCCCACUCCCCUCUUGGGAGGAGAAAUCAGCCACAGGCAGAAGGACGAACACAGAAGGAAGCCCUGCCUACCAGGAGACAGAAUGUCAACCCUCUCCUCUUCCAGGCAACAAAAAGAAACUAGAAAGAGAUGGCCAUUCAUCAAAGAGUGCCUUCCCAAUCACCUCCAUGGAGGUUUCAACAACAAUUACAGUGAACCAUCAGCAGUUUCAAGUGUGAAUAACUCAAUGACGUGGUCAAAUUUGGCAUCAAUAGAUCUGGCUGGGCCUCACAGAUUUUCCCCCGGGGCUGACGAUGUCAGCAGUUCCAGUCUGAU